GUUUGAGCAACAACAACUGGACUUUGAGCAACUGUAUGAAGUGAAUACUACCUGAUGUGAAGGUCACAUGCCAAGGACAAGUGUUUGACAGUCACUUCAGUGAUAAGAGCGGCCUUCUACGCGACACCUGGACUCGGCAAAGGCAGUAGAAACAUCUCAGCACCGUGCACCUUACGGCAUCACUCCCUCUCACAUCGUCUGUUCCUCAGCCUCCCACCAACACCUGAUGCAUGUGAAUGACCCGUCACUGUUGUCCUUCAGACAUCAUCAUCAUCAUCGUCAAGACGCUGCCUCCCAUCAGGCGCACCCAUGCCUCGCACACAGUGACUCGCGUGUGUGUGUGUGUGUGGGAUGGGGGGGACACAUCGCAUGGAUGACUCACCCACCUUUCUGUUGUCCCUCAUCUGCUCUUUCCCAUUCUAACAACACGAGUGAGUCACUGAUCGGAUACUCCGGGUUCAGAUCCCCACUGUGUCUGAGUGAGCAGGAACACACUCAGUCAUUCAAGUUCACUGAAGGCCGAUGCCACAUCAGAAAAAUGCUGCACACUGAUGAUUAAAGUCCCAACCUUUUAAAUGUCGUCA
Solea senegalensis (Senegalese sole) is the source of this 584-nucleotide long non-coding RNA. RefSeq lists it as uncharacterized. The record is from RefSeq and is a predicted model, not a curated record. Lineage: Eukaryota; Metazoa; Chordata; Actinopteri; Pleuronectiformes; Soleidae. The transcript has 3 exons.